GCGGCAGGGUAGCCUAGUGGUUAGAGUGUAGAGGCGGCAGGGUAGCCUAGUGGUUAGAGUGUAGAGGUGGCAGGGUAGCCUAGUGGUUAGAGUGUAGAGGUGGCAGGGUAGCCUAGUGGUUAGAGUGUAGAGGCGGCAGGGUAGCCUAGUGGUUAGAGUGUAGAGGUGGCAGGGUAGCCUAGUGGUUAGAGUGUAGAGGUGGCAGGGUAGCCUAGUGGUUAGAGUGUAGAGGCGGCAGGGUAGCCUAGUGGUUAGAGCGUUGGACUAGUAACCGGAAGGUUGCAAGUGCAACUCCCCGACAUGACAAGGUACAAAUCUGUCGUUCUGCCCCUGAACAGGCAGGUAACCCACUGUUCCUAGGGGGAAAACAAGAAUUUGUUCUUAACUGACUUGCCUA
This is a long non-coding RNA of Oncorhynchus tshawytscha (Chinook salmon), 397 nucleotides long. The record is from Ensembl. NCBI's taxonomy places the organism in Eukaryota, Metazoa, Chordata, Actinopteri, Salmoniformes, Salmonidae.